Long non-coding RNA from Xiphophorus maculatus (southern platyfish), 2128 nucleotides. RefSeq lists it as uncharacterized. Lineage: Eukaryota; Metazoa; Chordata; Actinopteri; Cyprinodontiformes; Poeciliidae. The transcript has 3 exons. The record is from RefSeq and is a predicted model, not a curated record.
ACGGUCAGCGGCUGUGACGGGUUCUGGCGGUUUCACCUGGACCUCGGAUCUGGUUUCUGGAGUUCUGCUGAGCCAACGUGAGGAUUCCCACCGUUUAGGAAGAUCAAUCUGUGAGGAAUUUGUUUCUGGACAGGAUUAUUAAGGAGAGAAGAUGUCUUUAAAGCGCCGACUGGUCUCCAUGUUUCUGUGCUGUGUUUACUGCGUGGCCUCACUCUUCUGCCUCCAUCCAAACCGCAGCAAUAUUGUCUCAGUGGGAGGGCGGAGUCUGUCGACCGUCUUCCAACAACUUUACCAGCGUGUCAUCCGAAUGCUGAGAACCACGCUGUGACUUCACACCACUUCCUGUGUUCGAAAGAGCCACCCUGGAUCUCCUGUCACUGUGACCGUGACCGAGCAUGCCUCCCAAAAGAGCAAGAACAAAUGAAUAAAAGAAGAGAAAAGAAAAGAGGAAUAAUAUGUGUGGGACUGCAGAGUUUGAAUUGACUCAUAUUUGUCUGAACAGCUUUCCAAAUGGCCAGAGAAGAAGAUGAAAACAGAUUUAUUUUUCUACACUUGACAAUGUAUGUUUGAUCACGAGUAAAAAUUGUUGGAUAGAUAAUUCUGUUAAAAUCCAAAAAAAAAAUCAGUUGAAUACAAAGUAAAAAUGUUUUACUUGGUAGAAUAACUUGUAGUGUAUUAGUGUGGUUCAGAAGAGAAAAGUUAACUAAUCAAAUGUCUUGACGGUUUGCAAGAUUACCCAGAGCAGAAGUUGCAGCAUCCUAUGAAAGUAUUCGUACAGUUUCAGUUUUUCUAUAACAUUAAUCACUAAGGUUUGAUUUAUGCAGACAAAAACUUGUAAUUUCUUGGCUUCAGGAGGACACAUUCCUUACAUCUAACCCAUGUUGUUUGUGAAGAGGUUUCAGUUUUGUCAAGUUUUGAUGAGUUACAUUGUUACUUUAUCUACUUUAUUGCAAUGUAUAGUCUUUUUGAUAUCUUUAAUGUGUACCAUAAAUUAUAUUUAUAAUUUACAGCAUUUACAAUUUAAAUUUUUGAGAGUCUAAUUCUAAACUACAUACUUAAAAUACAUGUGAAAAGGUGAAAAAAAAAUUCCAGUGAAAAGUAAAGUUACUUUUGAAACGGGAUGUUUGGAUGAGAACUGAACCGAAACUUCGGGCCUGCAACUAAGUUCUUUAAAUCUAAAGUAAUUAUUUUUUUCAACAUUAUAGCGAAAAACAGCAGAUAUUAUGUCAGUAGGUUUGUGAUAAUAGACUAAAUUUAUCAUGUGAAACUAAUUUGGUGAGUCAGAAAGACGAGAUCUAAGAUGGCGAAGAAGAAAUUAUAACUGAUAAUAAGAAGGAUAAUAUGUAAGUUAGAAAGAAAAGCUAUAAGAAAGUCAGAAGAAAGUAGGUAAAACAAGUCUGAUGAAAAAAAAGGCUAACUGACACAAAUUUAGAUGGUUCAUAAUGUUUAAACAUGACCUCCAUAACUAUUACUAUUUAAUCUGUUUAGCUGCUUAUAGGAGCUAACAGAAGAGCAACAGGUCCCUGAAACACUUUUCCGUUUUGUGCUAGAAAAUCUAAACAGCAGUUAUAUUGUUGAGUGAAACAAUAACCAACAUCAGUUUCAAUGGGCAGCAUUAACAUGCCUUUCCUAAGAUGUGGAUUUUGUACUAGCACUGCAGACUAAAUGGUAUUUUGCAUUCCUUAUAGACUAAUUAAUUACAGCCGUUAACCAAAAACAGCUAUUCAGUGAGUUUGACUUUGAGUUAAGAGAGUUAAUUUGAGUUAAGUUUCUUUUUUUGUUGGACUUGUGAUUUUGCAAAGAAGUGUGAAAAUUUAAGAUGGCGGAUCAUUUCAAGCUGUUUAUCUGAAUGUCAUUUUAGGAAGCAAAAUCUUGGGAAAAACAUGUUGUAGUGAUGUAAAUUUUAACACACUUGCAUGGAAUGAGUGAAUGGAAAGUAUUAUAAAUUGCAAAGUAAAUAAAUAACUUAAAUGAACUUUUCUAUAUAACAAAUGAGUCGACUGCUGAUGAGAUAAAAGCAAGAUAAUGCUGUGUCUGUGUUUCAAAUAGAUGCAGUACCCUGCUGUUUGUGUCACUGAUUUCAUGAAAUACAAACUUACAUGGGUGAAAAUAAACAACUUGAACUGGU